CAAUAGCGUAUAUUAAAGUUGUUGCAGUUAAAAAGCUCGUAGUUGGAUUUGUGGUGUGUCCAGUCGGCCUUUGCUCUUUGAGUGAUUGUGCUGUACUGGUCUGCCAUGUUUGGGUGGAAUCUGUGUGGCAUUAAGUUGUCGUGCAGGGGAUGCCCAUCGUUUACUGUGAAAAAUUAGAGUGUUCAAAGCAGGCUUAUGCCUUGAAUAUAUUAGCAUGGAAUAAUGAUAUAGGACCUUGGUACUAUUUUGUUGGUUUGCGCACUGAGGUAAUGAUUAAGAGGGACAGUUGGGGGCAUUCGUAUUUCAUUGUCAGAGGUGAAAUUCUUGGAUUUAUGAAAGACGAACUUCUGCGAAAGCAUUUGCCAAGGAUGUUUUCAUUAAUCAAGAACGAAAGUUGGGGGCUCGAAGAUGAUUAGAUACCAU
RNAcentral lists this ribosomal RNA (423 nucleotides) under uncultured eukaryote. RNAcentral's name for it is "SSU rRNA". It matches the Rfam family "Eukaryotic small subunit ribosomal RNA", at positions 592 to 1018 of the family's 1831-position model. The record is from RNAcentral.